AGAAAGAUGAGUAAGUUACAUGGUUACCGAACAAAGGGUGCAAACCACUGCUCAUUAUGCAUCACGUUCAUUUGAGUAAUGUGAACUGAGAAAACAAAUCCUGUCAUUAGAAAACCGCUUGUAGAUUUUUUCAUACCGUUACAGACAAAGAACAGGUCCUGGUAAAUCAAGAUGAGUGGAAAUAAGCAGAAGAAACUUCAGACAAAGACGGUGGGGAAAAUUACACCAGGGGUGAACACUGGAGAGAUAAACUCGUUGUCAGGUAUGGCAUUUGCUCACUAUCAGUGUCUCCAGACUGCGAAUAAAUGACUGGAUUUUAGUCAGGACACGUACUAAGUUAAAGGACAAAGAAAAGAUUUUAUCAUCUUACAAGGGCCUGGGGAGGAUAACCCAUGCCAACUGAGCCAGCCUUCACAUCAUAG
Molecule: non-coding RNA, 422 nt
Organism: Meleagris gallopavo (turkey)
Lineage: Eukaryota; Metazoa; Chordata; Aves; Galliformes; Phasianidae
Source: RefSeq, a predicted model, not a curated record